GAACCUGGUUGAUCCUGCCAGUAGUCAUAUGCUUGUCUCAAAGAUUAAGCCAUGCACGUGUCAGCAUCAACUUUAGCACGGUUAGGCUGCGGAUGGCUCACUACAACAGUUGUAAUCUCAGCAAUGUUUGGCUGCUAGAUGGAUAACUGUGGAAAACCUAGGGCUAAUACAUGCAUUCCUCCUGACUCAGUGGAAAGGAAGUGUUCAUUAGCAACAGAACUGGCCCAAGUUACGCUUGGUCACAUGAGGAGUCCUGAUGAAAGAGCAAAUUGCACAGCUCUGGCUGGCAAUGGAGUGCUUGAGCUUCUGACCUAUCAGCUUCCGACGCUAGGGUAUUGGCCUACCGUGGCAAUGACGGGUGACGGAGAAUUAGGGUUCGAUUCCGGAGAGGGAGCCUGCCAAACGGCUACCACAUCUAAGGAAGGCAGCAGGCGCGCAAAUUACCCAAUUCUGACACAGAGAGGUAGUGACAAGAAAUAACAAUAUGGGGCAUCCAUGUCCUGUAAUUGGAAUGAGCAGCGUCCAAAUUUCCUUGUGAGGAUCAAUUGGAGGGCAAGUCUGGUGCCAGCAGCCGCGGUAAUUCCAGCUCCAAUAGCGUAUAUUAAAGCUGUUGCGGUUGAAAAGCUCGUAGUUGGUUUUCUGUUGAGGGCAACCAGUCCGCCCACUGGGUGAGUAUCUGACUUGCUCUCGGCAUCUCUCUGGAAAUUGCUGCUGCACUUGACUGUGUGGUGCAUGACCCAGAGCCAUUACUUUGAGGAAAUUGGGGUGUUUCAAGCAGGCCUUGGCUGUUGAACACAUUAGCAUGGAAUAGUCAGCGAGACUCCAGCUCUUUCUUGCUGGUUUCUAGAGCUGGGGUAAGGGUCAAGAGGGAUGGUUGGGGGUAUCCGAACUUGGCUGUCAGAGGUGAAAUUCUUGGAUUUGCCAAAGUCGCACGACUGCGAAAGCAUUUAUCCAAAAUGUCUUCAUUGAUCAAGAACGAAAGUUAGGGGAUCGAAGACGAUCAGAUACCGUCCUAGUCUUAACCAUAAACGAUGCCAACUAGGAAUUGGAGGCUGUCUUCACUUUGACUCCUUCAGCACCAUAAGAGAAAUCAAAGUCUUUGGGUUCCGGGGGGAGUAUGGUCGCAAGGCUGAAACUUAAAGGAAUUGAUGGAAGGGCACCACCAGGAGUGGAGCCUGCGGCUUAAUUUGACUCAACACGUGGAAACUCACCAGGCCCAGACACAGGAUGGAUUGACAGAUUGAUCGUUCUUUCAUGAUUCUGUGGGUGGUGGUGCAUGGCCGUUCUUAGUUGG
RNAcentral lists this ribosomal RNA (1294 nucleotides) under Amphidinium sp. Its description in RNAcentral is "SSU rRNA". It matches the Rfam family "Eukaryotic small subunit ribosomal RNA", at positions 1 to 1301 of the family's 1831-position model. The record is from RNAcentral. Lineage: Eukaryota; Dinophyceae; Amphidiniales; Amphidiniaceae.